RNAcentral lists this ribosomal RNA (379 nucleotides) under uncultured cyanobacterium. Its description in RNAcentral is "bacterial SSU rRNA". It matches the Rfam family "Bacterial small subunit ribosomal RNA", at positions 376 to 770 of the family's 1533-position model. The record is from RNAcentral. Lineage: Bacteria; Bacillati; Cyanobacteriota.
CGAAAGCCUGACGGAGCAAGACCGCGUGAGGGAGGAAGGCUCUAGGGUUGUAAACCUCUUUUAUCAGGGAAGAAGCUCUGACGGUACCUGAGGAAUCAGCAUCGGCUAACUCCGUGCCAGCAGCCGCGGUAAUACGGAGGAUGCAAGCGUUAUCCGGAAUCAUUGGGCGUAAAGCGUCCGCAGGUGGGAGUUCAAGUCGAUUGUCAAAGGCAGUAGCCUAACUACUGAAAGGCAGUGGAAACUGAACAACUAGAGUGCGGUAGGGGUAGAGGGAAUUCCCGGUGUAGCGGUGAAAUGCGUAGAGAUCGGGAAGAACACCAGUGGCGAAAGCGCUCUGCUGGACCGGCACUGACACUGAGGGACGAAAGCUAGGGGAGCG